ACGCUCGACACCUACGGGAUGCAGCAGUGGGGAAUAUUGCACAAUGGGGGAAACCCUGAUGCAGCGACGCCGCGUGAGCGAAGAAGUAUUUCGGUAUGUAAAGCUCUAUCAGCAGGGAAGAAACUGACGGUACCUGACUAAGAAGCACCGGCUAAAUACGUGCCCGCAGCCGCGGUAAUCUGAGCGGGCUGGCAAGGC
Molecule: ribosomal RNA, 198 nt
Filed under: uncultured bacterium
Lineage: Bacteria
Description: partial 16S ribosomal RNA
Rfam family: Bacterial small subunit ribosomal RNA
Source: RNAcentral